Molecule: unclassified non-coding RNA, 20 nt
Filed under: Dictyostelium discoideum
Lineage: Eukaryota; Evosea; Eumycetozoa; Dictyosteliales; Dictyosteliaceae
Source: RNAcentral
AACGUGGAGGUAAGCUUUCA